This 387-nucleotide ribosomal RNA is filed under the name uncultured bacterium. RNAcentral describes it as "bacterial SSU rRNA". It matches the Rfam family "Bacterial small subunit ribosomal RNA", at positions 29 to 439 of the family's 1533-position model. The record is from RNAcentral.
AACGAACGCUGGCGGCAUGCCUAACACAUGCAAGUCGAACGAGACCUUCGGGUCUAGUGGCGCACGGGUGCGUAACACGUGGGAAUUUGCCUCGGGGUAUGGAAUAACUCAGGGAAACUUGAGCUAAUACCAUAUAAUGUCUUCGGACCAAAGAUUUAUCGCCCUGAGAUAAGCCCGCGUAGGAUUAGCUAGUUGGUGGGGUAAAGGCUCACCAAGGCGACGAUCCUUAGCUGGUCUGAGAGGAUGAUCAGCCACACUGGGACUGAGACACGGCCCAGACUCCUACGGGAGGCAGCAGUGGGGAAUAUUGGACAAUGGGCGAAAGCCUGAUCCAGCAAUGCCGCGUGAGUGAUGAAGGGCCUUCGGGUUGUUAAAGGACUCUUUUAC